AGAGCGAACGCUGGCGGCAGGCCUAACACAUGCAAGUCGAGCGCCCGUAGCAAUACGGGAGCGGCAGACGGGAUAGUAACACGUGGGAACGCGCCCUUCGGUUCGGAAUAACUCAGGGAAACUUGAGCUAAUACCGGAUACGCCCUUACGGGGAAAGAUUUAUUGCCGAAGGAACGGCCCGCGUCCGAUUAGCUAGUUGGUGAGGGUAAUGGCUCACCAAGGCGACGAUCGGUAGCUGGUCUGAGAGGAUGACCAGCAUCACUGGGACUGAGACACGGCCCAGACUCCUACGGGAGGCAGCAGUGGGGAAUAUUGGACAAUGGGCGCAAGCCUGGAUCCAGCCAUGCCGCGUGGAUGAUGAAGGCCUUAGGGUUGUAAAGUCCUUUUAACGGGGAAGAUAAGUGACGGUACCCGUAGAAUAAGCCCCGGCUAACUUCGUGCCAGCAGCCGC
RNAcentral lists this ribosomal RNA (451 nucleotides) under uncultured bacterium. RNAcentral describes it as "SSU rRNA". It matches the Rfam family "Bacterial small subunit ribosomal RNA", at positions 26 to 518 of the family's 1533-position model. The record is from RNAcentral.